This 330-nucleotide ribosomal RNA is filed under the name uncultured bacterium. RNAcentral's name for it is "bacterial SSU rRNA". It matches the Rfam family "Bacterial small subunit ribosomal RNA", at positions 28 to 334 of the family's 1533-position model. The record is from RNAcentral.
GACGAACGCUGGCGGCAUGCCUAAGUACAUGCAAGUCGAACGCUUUAAUUUCACCGGGUGCUUGCACCCAUCGAAGUUAAGGAGUGGCGGACGGGUGAGUAACACGUGGGUAACCUGCCCAUAAGAGGGGGGAUAACAUUCGGAAACGGAUGCUAAUACCGCAUAUUUCUAAUCGUCUCCUGACGAAUGGAAGAAAGGUGGCUUCGGCUACCGCUUAUGGAUGGACCCGCGGCGUAUUAGCUAGUUGGUGGGGUAAUGGUCUACCAAGACGAUGAUACGUAGCCGACCUGAGAGGGUGAUCGGCCACAUUGGGACUGAGACACGGCCCAA